UAGAGUUUGAUCAUGGCUCAGAUUGAACGCUGGCGGCAGGCCUAACACAUGCAAGUCGAGCGGUAGCACAAGAGAGCUUGCUCUCUGGGUGACGAGCGGCGGACGGGUGAGUAAUGUCUGGGAAACUGCCUGAUGGCGGGGGAUAACUAGUGGAAACGGUAGCUAAUACCGCAUAACGUCGCAAGACCAAAGUGGGGGACCUUCGGGCCUCACGCCAUCAGAUGUGCCCAGGUGGGAUUAGCUGGUAGGUGGGGUAACGGCUCACCUAGGCGACAAUCCCUAGCUGGUCUGAGAGGAUGACCAGCCACACUGGAACUGAGACACGGUCCAGACUCCUACGGGAGGCAGCAGUGGGGAAUAUUGCACAAUGGGCGCAAGCCUGAUGCAGCCAUGCCGCGUGUGUGAAGAAGGCCUUUGGGUUGUAAAGCACUUUCAGCGAGGAGGAAGGGUAAUGUGUUAAUAAGACAUUGC
Molecule: ribosomal RNA, 471 nt
Filed under: Serratia symbiotica
Lineage: Bacteria; Pseudomonadati; Pseudomonadota; Gammaproteobacteria; Enterobacterales; Yersiniaceae
Description: bacterial SSU rRNA
Rfam family: Bacterial small subunit ribosomal RNA
Source: RNAcentral